Paramuricea clavata is the source of this 3709-nucleotide non-coding RNA. Lineage: Eukaryota; Metazoa; Cnidaria; Anthozoa; Malacalcyonacea; Plexauridae. The record is from the annotation of a GenBank genome assembly.
CCAGGUUCGGAUGGACAAUGAUGUCUCCGGGUAAGGAAUUCGACCACUCAAAGAUGCUCCUGACACAGACAAGCCAGUCAGAUUACGAGGACUUAUGUAGAUUGGACGUAUUGGGGCUGGAGGACAAGCCUGAACAUGAUCAAUAUGCGGUCCAUGCAGAAUUUCGUGAGCAGCUAGUACGACAUCAGGAAGGGUGGUACGAGACAGGUUUACUUUGGAAAGGGAGCCACCCCCCUCUACCAAAUAAUAAAACAGGCAGUUUACGGCGACUAACGCAACUCCAUAACAAGCUACAACGGAUGGAAAUGACGGAGAAGUAUGCAGAGGUGAUCAAUCAACAAAAGUCAGAGGGGAUAGUGGAGUCUGCAACCGAACCACCAACCGGGAAAGAAUUUUACAUACCCCACAAACCUGUUAUGAGAACACAAGCUGAAUCAACCAAACUACGCGUUGUUUACGAUGCUUCAGCUCGAGAAAACACACAAGAACCAAGCCUUAAUGAUUGUCUUUAUGCAGGACCUCCGCUUCAAAAUCGGUUGUGGAACGUGUUGGUACGCAUUCGUUUUCACCCAGUUGCAGUGACCGGGGACAUUAAACAGGCUUUUUUACAAGUCCGUAUCAGGAAAGCAGAGAGAGACUCACUCAGAUUCCAUUGGAAGUCCAAUAAACAGUCGUUAGUCGAAACAUUGAGAUUCACGCGAGCGCUAUUUGGUCUAGUGUGUUCGCCGUUCCUUCUCGGCGGUGUCGUCGAACGUCACCUGGAAUCGUGGAAAGAACGUGAACCAGAGUUGGUCGCUGAAAUCCGUAGAAGCCUUUAUGUUGACGACCUACUGAGUGGUAAGCCAACCGUAGCAGAAGCAAAGGAUUUGAAGGAAGGAGCUAUUAAGAUUUUUCAAGAUGCCAAGUUCACAUUACACAAAUGGCAUUCAAAUGAUCCUGAGUUGGAAAGCGAACAGUCCAGCGUGGAGACGGAGAAUACCUUUGCCAAACAGCAACUUGGUGCACCAACCGAUCCGGAGUCAAGUCUUCUCGGCCUGUCCUGGAACAAGGAAGCUGAUGAGUUCAGUGUUGUGGCCUCGAUAUGAAACCGAACGUGACUAAGAGAGAACUUUUGAGCAAUCUAGCAAGCAUUUAUGAUCCCUUGGGCCUUGUAGCACCUGUGACACUCAAGGGAAAGACAAUCUACCGAGAAACGUGCAAGGCAAAAACAGCAUGGGAUGCAUCACUUCCAGAACCACAAGCAGCAGAAUAUGGUCGAUGGGUAAGGGAACUGCCUAGACGUGUAACUGUACCGAGAGCCUUGACAACUCAGCGCGAAGCUGUAGAAGAAAUUGAGCUGCACACAUUCGGGGAUGCAAGUGGGAAAGGAGUUUGUGCAGCCCUUUAUGCAAUUGUGAAACAAGGUGAUGAAACCAACGUGGGUUUAGUCGCUGCCAGAGCAAGAUUAGCUAAACAGGACUUGAGCAUACCUCGCCUAGAACUUGUUUCCGCCCAUAUGGCAGCAAAUCUGAUGAUAAAUGUUCAACAAGCGCUUGAUGGAAUGCCUGUUACGGGAACCUACGGAUGGCUAGACAGCACGGUAGCGCUGCAAUGGUUAAAAGGGGGAGGAGAAUAUAAACAAUUUGUGGCCAAUCGGGUGAGAAAGAUUCAAGCUUGCCCAGAUAUAAUUUGGCGUCAUGUCCCAAGUCAAGACAACCCUGCUGACCUGGGAAGUCGGGGAGGACAGGUGACUGGAAAUCUACUGUGGUGGAAAGGACCUCCGUGGUUGACCAAUCAGAGCGAGUGGCCAAGAGAUAUAGUAACGACUGCAACCAAUGAAAGCGAAGCCGAAGCCAAAGCGACAAGAGCAGUGUUCAAGUUAGCUGUAGAACCAACCAACCCACCUGAUGGAAUCUUGACAAAGUUUUCCCUCAACAAAGCUGUAAGAGUAAACGCAUGGAUUUCUCGAUUUGUGUAUAAUUGUCGAGCGAAAGCAACUAAGAAAGAGACACGGUCGGGCCGUUGACAACGCAAGAGAUAAACGACCAACACAGCGCUUAUGUAAAACAAGCCCAAGCAAUUCUAUACGACAAAGUGAGCGACGAUAAGCAACGCCUGGGUGUACAAAUGAAUGAAGAUGGUAUCCUCGUGUGCAAAGGUCGUUUGCAAGGUCAAUAUCCCGUAUUUUUACCGGACAGUCAUCUUUACACCACUAAACUCGUAGAAGAUGCGCAUCAACGCACGUUACACGGGGGAGUCGGGCUCACUAUGGCCAAGAUUAGAGAGAACGUUUGGGUGCCAAGGCUAAGACAACUUGUAAAGAAGACCGUAAAGGGAUGCCACGGGUGUCGACGAUUUCAUGCUAAGCCAGUUAGUAAACCACCUCCAGGAAACUUGCCCGUAGACCGAACAGAAGGUGAUCGUCCGUUUCAGGUCGUAGGCGUCGAUUUCGCCGGCCCCAUCAAGUAUCGCGUCACCAAAAAGACGGAAGGAAAGGCGUAUAUAACCCUCUACGCAUGUAGUCUAACGCGAGCCCUCUACCUAGAGUUAACCACGAGCAUGGAAACCGAUGAAUUUAUCCCUACCCUCAAGCGACUCAUCGCGAGGAAAGGCAGACCGGAAAAGAUUUAUUCCGACAACGCGAAGACCUUCGUUGCGGCAGCCAAGUGGUUGAAGAAGGCACAACAAGAUGAAAAAUUCAAUCAUUUCCUGGCCAACGAAAAAAUAAAAUGGCAGUUCAAUCUAAGUCGGGCCCCCUGGUGGGGGGGGGGGCAAUUCGAACGUAUGGUCGGCUUGGUCAAGUCCGCGUUGUACAAGUCUAUUGGGAAUGGCUUCUUAACCAAGAAAGAACUCGAAGAUGUCCUUCUAGACAUUGAAACAACAUUGAACAACAGACCUCUAGGGUACCAAGAAGAUGAUAUCCAAAUGCCAACAUUGACACCGAACAGUUUGCAGUUUGUUGGAUCGACCCACCUUCCGGAACCCGAACAUUACCACGAAGCCGAUCCUGACCUACGUAAACGCGCGAAAUACCUAAAGAAAUGUAAAGAUCACAUGUGGAACAGGUGGACGAAAGAGUACCUACGAGCCUUACGAGAACGACAUAAUUUAAAACAUGAUACGAAGCCAUUCAGCCUAGCUGUGGGUGAUGUCGUCAUAAUUUAUUCUGAAGAGCGCAAUAGAGGAAAGUGGCCGCUCGGAAUGGUUCAGGAACUUUACCCAGGAAGAGACGGGGUCGUUCGAGCAGCGAAAAUAAAGACGGGAAACGGUCAUUUAGAGAGAGCAGUCAAUCUACUCUACCCACUUGAACUGUCGUGUGACAUAAGACCAUCAACCGGUAGUGAAAACCUCAAUCCAGAAGCUGCAGUAUUUCGACCAACCCGCGAGGCAGCGGUCACCGCAAGGUUACGCAUCCAAGAGCAAGCGAACGAUGAUGAAAUUUGAACAAGAAAUUGAACAUAGUAUAUCCUUUUGAGACGUUAAAGUUUAUAUCUAAUAGAUGACAUUUAGUAGACCUUACAUUAGUAACAUUGAGAUUAUUUAAGUUUCCUUUCAGUACAUAUACCUUCAAAAAGCUAUAUGGGGGGAGAGUGUCGGAAACUAUAUUUAGCUUUUUUAUUAUCGCGUGGGACAUGCGAGUAUACUCGCGGACAGUCGGACAGCUCCGGAAGAUACCGUUGAGAAUGUUUACAUAGCGAGGGAUUCGGGAAAGAACACAGCGAAGCAUAAG